UACGGAGGGGGCUAGCGUUGUUCGGAAUUACUGGGCGUAAAGCGCGCGUAGGCGGACCUGCAAGUCGGGGGUGAAAGCCCGAGGCUCAACCUCGGAACUGCCUUCGAUACUGCGGGUCUCGAGUCCGGGAGAGGUGAGUGGAAUUCCUAGUGUAGAGGUGAAAUGCGCAGAUAUCGGGAGGAACACCAAUGGCGAAGGCAGCUCGCUGGGACGUUACUGACGCUGAGACGCGAAAGCGUGGGGAGCAAACAGG
Molecule: ribosomal RNA, 253 nt
Filed under: uncultured bacterium
Lineage: Bacteria
Description: partial 16S ribosomal RNA
Rfam family: Bacterial small subunit ribosomal RNA
Source: RNAcentral